This 446-nucleotide ribosomal RNA is filed under the name uncultured Lactobacillus sp. RNAcentral's name for it is "bacterial SSU rRNA". It matches the Rfam family "Bacterial small subunit ribosomal RNA", at positions 355 to 794 of the family's 1533-position model. Lineage: Bacteria; Bacillati; Bacillota; Bacilli; Lactobacillales; Lactobacillaceae. The record is from RNAcentral.
UAGGGAAUCUUCCACAAUGGACGAAAGUCUGAUGGAGCAACGCCGCGUGAGUGAAGAAGGGUUUCGGCUCGUAAAGCUCUGUUGGUAGUGAAGAAAGAUAGAGGUAGUAACUGGCCUUUAUUUGACGGUAAUUACUUAGAAAGUCACGGCUAACUACGUGCCAGCAGCCGCGGUAAUACGUAGGAUGCGAGCGUUAUCCGGAUUUAUUGGGUUUAAAGGGUGCGCAGGCGGCGUGCCAAGUCAGCGGUCAAAGUUCCGGGCUCAACCCGGUGAUGCCGUUGAAACUGGUGUGCUUGAGUGCGUGCGAGGGAGGCGGAAUGCGUUGUGUAGCGGUGAAAUGCAUAGAUAUGACGCAGAACUCCGAUUGCGAAGGCAGCUUUCCAGCACGCCACUGACGCUGAGGCACGAAAGCGUGGGGAUCGAACAGGAUUAGAUACCCUGGUAGU